ACGGUUGUAAUCAUCGUUUGCCUUCACUCAUUUCAAGUACUCCCGCACCUUGAGAUUCCUAUGCUCGACAAACUCCUUAUAUGCCUACAUAAUUUAGGUUGUUUCUAAGUGAGCAAUGCUGAAAAUAAACUGAGAAUGCAAGAUAGAAAAAGAUAAAGAGGAAGUACUUACAGCAUGCUGGCGGGCUAAGGGAGUCUGUGAACGCCCCGUACUCUCUAACUGGCUCGGGUUGCUAGCCCGAAGCCGUGUGUACGAGAUCGAAGGAGUGAUCAAGCCAUCGAAACACGGAUACCGGCCAUUCUUCUUCCCCUGGAUGGCCACCACCGCCGUGUCGUCGAUCUGAGACUGGGCGACCUCAACAACAGGAACAUCCGGAUGCAACUCCUGAUAGUGAUGAAUGUAAGACCCCAGGUGUUCCUCGGUCUUGCCGUAGUACUGGCUCUCGCCCUCCUUGAGAUGACUCCGCUCGCGGGCCAGCUUCCACGAAUCCAUGUCUGAGAGCGGCCUCUUCAACUUGUCCUCCUACAACGUCAAAUAGAAGUCAGCCAUACAUAAGAACAUGACGUAAAGAAGAACAAAAAUGCAUCAUGCACAUAGAUAUACCUUCAUGGCCUUGAUGCCCCAGUGGUUCCUGUUUCCUUGGCCGUGUGUCCCGUUGUCUCCACGGUUAGCUCGGGCCUUGAUGCUCUUGGCAGCAAACUCUACAUCGGCGCCGAGCCACCUAUCCACCAAACUCGCCCAUCCGUCAUGCCUUCCAUAGCACCAACGAGGAACAACCUAUGCAAAUUUUGGAAGCAUGACAUGUGAGCACGAAACAUAUAGUUGACUGCUUGAAACAAUGAAAAGUUAGUAAUAGUUACCAUCAUGAACUGCUCCUUGCUCAAGGUAAGUCGUAGCUUCUGCGCUUGAGUUUUGGGCAUCUUUUGUUGCAGGUAGUAGUGGUAGUACUGCGAGACGGCAACCCAG
Molecule: long non-coding RNA, 966 nt
Filed under: Triticum aestivum (bread wheat)
Lineage: Eukaryota; Viridiplantae; Streptophyta; Magnoliopsida; Poales; Poaceae
Description: long non-coding RNA (TAES_LNC011199)
Source: RNAcentral